AAAAAGUAAUAUAUUCUUCAUUAUUUGCAAAAUACUUUAAUUUGCAUUUUGUGUUUCAGCUUUUGAUUUAAUGUGUAAAUUCCAAAUUGUAUAAAAUUGUUAUUUAGUUAAAAAUUAAAGUAUACAAAUAUGCUAUAAUGGUAAUUGUCAUUGUAAACAACAAUUCAGAUUAUAUAUUACCGUUUAAAUAUCUAGUACUUAAUACCAGUUGCUUAUGACAACAAAAAUAUGGAUUAUCACACAUUAAGUAUGAGCAGAAAUAUUACAUAUUAUUGAAAUAACACAAACUGGUCUUCACUGUGUUAGAUAAGAACAUUUUGUAACAUUUUUGGCACUGGAGUUUAUUUUUCCCGUCUUUGAUUACAAAUGGUGGUGUACUUAUGCAUUUAAGCAUUUUGUCAUGAAUUUAUAUAGAAACUUUAUUUAUUGAAAUGUUAUUUUGUGUGAUAAUUCUUUGUUUUUUAAUCUGUGAAUUGUUGAGUCUUUCAAGUGAUGUUUUAAUUUCUUCAAAACUUUCACCAUUCCAAGAAAUAUUCCAAGACUAUUUUGAUAGAGUGUGGUGAUUUUGUUUAUGCCCCCGAAAGAUGGCAUAUAGUUUUUGAACUGUCCGUCUGUCUGUCUGUCAGUCGGUCCGUCCGUCCGUCCGUCCGAAAACUUAAACAUUGGUCAUAACUUUUUAAAUAUUGAAGAUAGCAACUUGAUAUUUGGCAUGCAUGUGUAUCUGACGGAGCUGCACAUUUUAAGUGGUGAAAGGUCAAUGUAAAAAAUAUGGCUUGAACGCGGCGCAGAAGGAGGCAUUGUAUUUAUGACAAACACGUCUCUUGUUCAAUUUUUAUCAACGAAUAAACAAACCAUGUCCGUGCAUUCUUGUUUGGAGCUGCAACGUCCUGGUUUUAAUGACGCACUGGCAGAGUGCAAAUGCACACACUAGUCUGGAGCUAUGCUAGUCCCAAAUGGUGUAAGCCUAGUUUUGCUUGACACGGCUUACAUUUAUACACAUUUGGUAACUGCUCAUACCUUACCACUGUUCGUUAAAGCUAACAUGGUGGUGUUAAAACUGGUGCAGGCACAUUUCUUUUAACUCAAAAUAAACUUGCUGCAUAUGCAACUGUAGCAUGACCAGUAACUGUUAUUGGCUGUCAUGUUCACAGGACUCCCCAACUACAAGUGGGCCCUCCCCCUUGUGUCCAAACAAGUAUAAGAACAUCGAGGAUGCGCUCAGAAAGCGUGCUCAUACUGUCUCUGCAGAGGAUGUCACAAUGCAGCCCAUUUACGCAGGCUUUGAAAGGAGCAAAACACUUUGUCGUUCCGAAAGAAUCUUUAAGGGUACGAGAAGCAAAGACGUUCCCCAGUGGAGCCUCUGGUUUGCCUACGCUGAAACGCAAGAUGUCUUUCUCAGCAACAUUGUUACGGAAAACUAAAUCCUUCAUAAAGUUAUGGAGAGACUGAGAGUCUAAAACUCAGAGUGAUUUUGGCAUUGUCUAGCCAAAGUCCAAACGUCUGUUGACAUGACACUGCUGGGUACAGUUUAACUGGAAGAUAUUAAUAAAUGUUCAUCUUUUAUUAUACAAUCAAGGUUUCAUUAUAAUUUUUUUACUUGUGAUUCGUAUUUUUAGUUAAUAUUUUCUUAAAUGUGAAAAAAUUUGAUAGUAUAUCAUACAAAUCACCAUCUAACAUUAUUUAGUUACUAUUUUCUUAAAUGUGGAGACAUUGAAAGUAAAUGAUAUAAAGCACCAUCUAACAGUGUAACAAGAUACAACAAAGAAGGUCCUUGUUAUUCUAAAAGUUUUUAGAUAAUGUGUUAACUGAUCAUUUGAGGGAGUAGUCAAGCUGAGCAGCAGUUAAGUUCUUUCUUUCAUUGUCGAGUUACUGUUCUUGAUGCAUUUAUGAGUAACUGUUCUUGAUACAUAGAUGAGUUACUGUUCUUGAUGCAUUGAUGAGUUACCUCUCUUGAUCUGUAAUUUAACAUGGAUGGUCCAGUAGCCUCUUAUCUUUCACUUGUUAUUUAUAUCAACAAUGCAUUGCCGCUGAUGUUAUGCUGACUGUGAUAUCUCUUAUAUGGAAUCUUGGCUGCAUGUAACUGGGGGUAAACUGGACCACCCAAGAAAACUGUCGGAUAUGAACCUAGGGUUCCUAAAAGGCAAGCCAAUCACUGUGCUAACCAGAAAACAAGGUUAUGGUUUUUCAAUGGAAAUAUGUAGUUUUUCAAGGAAUGUUAUUAAUGUACAUUAAUCCUCAUAUUGCAAGGUAGUAACUUCAUGAACAUAUGCACCCAUUUCCAUACUGAAGUAGAACAUCAUGUGUCCUUUCUGAUUUGAGACUUUGAGAUGUUCUUGAAACAUAACAUGGGCCCGUAUUCACGAACCCAUUCUUAGACUUAAGAAUAAAGAAUAUACUAAGAACCAAGAAAAAUGCGUUCAGUGUUUGAAUGUUUGCAAGCUACCACUGGUGAUUAUAUCAUUCACAAAAUGUUCUAUAAGAAUAAUGAUGUAGAUAGAGGUGGUUAAUAUGGUUUAUUGAAAAUUUUAAUUUAAAGAAUUUUCUUUAUUCUUAGACUUAAGUCUAAGAAUUGUUUGGUGAAUACGGGCCCUGAUCUGCACUUUGAACCGACAUGGUUACAUGUAAAGUAAGUUUAACCACAAAAUACAAAUAUUGCUGAAAUGCUGUUGUGGCAGAUGUUUUAUUGGGUAUCAUAUUCAUCAUCAAACCUAGCAUGUAAUAUUUACGAUCUACCUUUUGAAAAAAAUCAAAGCUGUAUUUAUACCAAAUUAUUAGAACAAAUGGAUAGUAAAAUCAUUUCGACUGUGGAUGCUUAUAUUGUGUUCUUGCCCAUUAUGGGUCUGUUGGCUUUACAUUCAGAUACAUGUCACUAUCUUGGUAGAGAUAUUAGAGGUUCGUGGAGAGGUUAACAGAAGUUCAUGUUACAAUGCCGUUGAAGGGCUCUUUCUAAAGAGAUCAAUUGCAAACAAUAACUCCAGAAUUCAUAAAAAAAAUGCAAUUUUGUUGUUCCAUUAUUUGGUAGGAAAAUUGAAUUAAAUGCUGUUCGUUAUGGAUACUAUACUUUACAUUGUUGUCAUAAAACUAUUGUAUUAUCUCAGAUAAGUUCCUGGAUUGUAUAGCAAGCAUUAAUUUUCAUAUUCAUUUGAGCUGUGCUCUUUAAAUCUGGGCUAUUUCAAUGUGCUUUAAGUGUCGUCCCAGAUAAGCCUCUGCAGACUGCACAAUCUAAGCUGGCGGGAAACUUUGCACAUGCAUUAAAAUAAGUAAGGUUUUCAUAGGGCUCGACUUUUCUUAUACUUAUUUUUGCGGAAGAAUAAGAACCUGCUUUCAACUUCCUUUCAUACUUAUGAAAUAAGGUUAGUAACUUGUUUUUCUAUCAAUUUAUUCUAUUUCUAUUGGUCUCAUGCGAAGCACAGCCUUGGACAAUUAUAACCUGAGAGUGGGCAUUAAAUAGAGAAUAUAUGGUAUGAAAUUGAGAACUUUUGGAUUUGAAGCCACAUUCAUUGGAAACUUUACUUCAUGAAUGUGCGUUAAGUUUCAUUGCAGAUUAUUGUGUGCAGACUGCAUCGACUAAUCUGAGAUGGGUUUUUUUACGCACAAGCUUUAAGCCCAGUGUUUCCAGAGCGUGACUCAAAUUGAACUGUGUUUGCAGUAGUAUCAGUAGUCAUAGGCCCAGUUCUGUCAGCUCAUUAUGUUCUGAAAUGCCUUGCCUUGUAAGAAUUGCUCUUGUGACUUCGUAUCUGAUUCUUAAAGACCUGCUGGCGUAAUACUGUUUUCUACUGAUCCUGUCUCUCUGUUUGCUCUCUUGUUUCUCUGGAAAGUAAGCGGUGCAUCAUACAUAUGUGAUAAGUGUGUUUCCAUGUAGUAAAUAUCUUAAUAAUGCCUGUCUGUUAUCAAGGUAUAAAAAUGCAAUGUCAAAAUGGACUAGAAGGAUCCAUUAUUAUUGCAUAUGUAUGCAAUAUGUUUUGCUGGCUGUCUGUCGGUAAACGGUCGAUAGACCAGUUCGUUUCCGAUCAAUAACUUGAAUUGACCGAUUGGCUUGAUACUUUACAUGUGCAUUGGCAUUGGACAGUAGAUGACCCCUAUUGAAAUUGGGGUCACUAGGUCAAAGGUCAAGUCACUAUCACACUAAGUGAGAUAAUCGUUUCCGAUCAAUAACUCGUCAACGAAUUGACCGAUUGGCUUGAUACUUAACAAGUCAUGUAGGUAGACUCACACACCAAAUAUCGGGUCAAUAUAUUAAUGCUAUUUGAAAAAAAGGCCAGAAAAUGAAAUGCCGGAAGGACAGACGGACGGACGGACGGACAGUCCGACUGCUAUAUGCCAUCCUACCUGGAGCAUAAAAAUUAUCUCUAUAUAUGAAAGAGUUGCGUAAAAAAAAACGCCUGAAAACGGUAAAAUUAAUUAAAUUAUAGUUCGAUUGGUCAUUGUCGGCUUGGGUACUCUUGAAAGUGAGUCUACCAACAUAAUCUACAGAAGAAGUGUAAAAUUCGUUUAGGUCCAAUAAUGUUUGGCGUAGUUAUGGGCCUUGGACUUAUAAAAAAAAUCUCUAUAAUAACGCUCGAUUGGUCCCGGGAUUAGUUCUUCUUGAAUGCUCUGAGCUUUUAUGAGUACAUACGUACAGCUCAUAGUUCUUCCUGUCAAAGUCAAAGGUGUAUUUUGUAGAGAAAUGCUUAAAACAUAAACUUGAUAACAAAUCGUUUAUGGCUGAAGUUGUGAAUUGUCGAUUAGUGCAAAGCGAAAGAAAAGGUUACACUGCACAAAUUGUUUUCACCGUAGUAUCUGACGAUCUGGUCUUAUGGUAGCAGUUGAAAUUGUAUUGCGCAUAACAGUGUAGUUUGAAUUACGACACAUUCUUAUUAUUAUUCCCUCUGCGAUCGGAUAAGUGGUAGAGUCCGUGCUUUUAGAUACGGCAUUGUAGAUACAGUUAUUGCGCUGUAUACUAAUUGGACUGAAAAUCCGGAAAAAAUGGAUGUAGUGUCGGGUGUUCUUACAUGCCUAGAGAUAAGGCUGUAGUAUGGAAUACUUAAUAAAUAUUUUUUUUUUCAUGCUAUACAAUUUAGUAUUUAAUUAAUUAACGGAAUGAAAUAAAUAUUAGCAUAAACGUAUAUAGAUGUAUGUCUACUUAUGCACAUAUUGUAAAGCUUUGAUAAUGUGUGUAAAUAUUGAAAUGCAUAUUAAAAUAAAAGUAUAUUGAA
Molecule: long non-coding RNA, 5195 nt
Organism: Dreissena polymorpha
Lineage: Eukaryota; Metazoa; Mollusca; Bivalvia; Myida; Dreissenidae
Exons: 2
Source: RefSeq, a predicted model, not a curated record